Molecule: ribosomal RNA, 484 nt
Filed under: uncultured bacterium
Lineage: Bacteria
Description: partial 16S ribosomal RNA
Rfam family: Bacterial small subunit ribosomal RNA
Source: RNAcentral
AUUGAACGCUGGCGGCAGGCCUAACACAUGCAAGUCGAGCGGAUGAAGGGAGCUUGCUCCUGGAUUCAGCGGCGGACGGGUGAGUAAUGCCUAGGAAUCUGCCUGGUAGUGGGGGAUAACGUCCGGAAACGGGCGCUAAUACCGCAUACGUCCUGAGGGAGAAAGUGGGGGAUCUUCGGACCUCACGCUAUCAGAUGAGCCUAGGUCGGAUUAGCUAGUUGGUGGGGUAAAGGCCUACCAAGGCGACGAUCCGUAACUGGUCUGAGAGGAUGAUCAGUCACACUGGAACUGAGACACGGUCCAGACUACUACGGGACGCAGCAGUGGGGAAUAUUGGACAAAGGGCGAAAGCCUGAUCCAGCCAUGGCGCGUGUGUGAAGAAGGUCUUCGGAUUGUAAAGCACUUUAAGUUGGGAGGAAGGGCAGUAAGUUAAUACCUUGCUGUUUUGACGUUACCAACAGAAUAAGCACCGGCUAACUUCGUG